This is a long non-coding RNA of Oryzias melastigma (Indian medaka), 2455 nucleotides long. RefSeq lists it as uncharacterized. The record is from RefSeq and is a predicted model, not a curated record. The transcript has 5 exons. NCBI's taxonomy places the organism in Eukaryota, Metazoa, Chordata, Actinopteri, Beloniformes, Adrianichthyidae.
UAGAGGCGCACCAGAGGAAGAAUUUACCCUCCUGAUAAAACGCUACUAGCAUAUGAAAAUAUUCUGCCUCUCUGUUCCAACUAACUGGGCCAUCCAGUACAAGCGAAAAUAUUACAAGCCGGGAAAUUUUGUCUCCGAGCCCCGACAGUACCCAGUCUCCAGCUCCCUGUAGCAUGUGACGAUAUUGAACGUUGGACUAAUUGAUGGCGCUGGCAGGUUGAAGGUCCCACUGGGGACCUGUGGGAGCUGAGGAUCCAAUUUUCUGCCUGACAGACACCGGCAAAGAUGUCACCAUCCCACCACAACAGUUUUCCUGUGUUCUGUGUCCAUCCCCAUAAUGUCAGAUGAACCAAUAAAAUCUAAACUUGAGUCCUCAAGAUGUUUCCAAGGUAACCAGCAUUUCCUCCAGUUUUCUAAGCCCAUAUGGAGGAAAACUGUUCAGUAAAGUGAAAGAAAAAGAAGAGCAUCACCUUCAGUUUGCAUAUUUAAGGUAAAAUAUUCCCUAAUGGUGCCAUAAUUAAAGACUCACUCCAGUUAUUUUUUUUUCUUUUGCAUAAUCAUUUCCAGUAGUCUUUUAAUUAUGACUGUGCAGUUUUUAUCUUUUGUUGUUUAAGACAUAUUUUAUGCACAGUGGCAGUAGCUCAUUAUACUGUAUAUGCAAAUCUGGGUUGUGGGCGGGACUGUUGGCUCAGAACGACCCCGCCCCCUCCAUGUUGCUUGGAGCUCUGUUUGUGCGCAAGCUUAUAGCUUUAAGCUAGCAUUUGCGGUGCAAAAAUAACAAUGAGCAAUACCCCAACUAGCAAGGCCAAGUGGGCCCCAUAUGGUGUAAAAGUGGGCAGAAAAUGUGGGCCCCUAUUGGGUUUGUCCGCCGUUUUUCGUGGUGACCCCAUCGGUGUUUGUCCACAUUGGCUUAAGUGGGGAUUCAGUGGGUUAGCUUGCUAAGCUAGCCAGCUGCCCGGUGGACAGCAUAGCACACUAGCGAGCUCCACUGUAGCAUGCUAGUGAAAUCCUCUGUAGCUUAUUAGCGAGCUCUUCUGUCGCAAGCUAGCGGGCUCUGCUAUAGCGAUCUAGUGAGCUCUACUGUCUGGAUAGCAGCUGAUAGCAUAGCAAGCUAACCCACUAAGCAUCCACUUAAGUCAAUGUGGUAAUCGCACAGAAACUGCGGACAAACCCAAUUGGAGCCCACAUUUUCUGCCCACUUUUAAACCAUAUGGCACCCACUUGGCCUUGCUGGCUCGGUUCUGGAUCAAUCCAGUCGUACAGUUUUGAGCCAGAUGAGUGUUUAAAGCUCAUUGGAGUGGAGUGGAGUAGAGCGACUUUAGCACGCAUAUUUCAGUCUCUGCGUCAUUAGUUGGAGCUUUUUCUAGCAUCUGAUUUUAUGAUCCAAUUACUCAGUUUUAAUCAUCAAUUAUUUUGUAUAGCUCCUCCAUUAUGAGAAAAGGGCUACAAGAACAUGUUAAAUAAAAACACAAAAAAUACUAUUUUCAUUGGUCUUUCAAACUCAGAAUUCACCCGUUUCGAAAGUUGAUGGGUAGCAAUGCAAAUAACCGUUUAAUGAAAUCUUUAGAAACACCAACACCCAGGGUAUUUGUGGAACAACAUCACAGACACUCCACAUCUGUUGUGAAUACAUUUACUGUUCUGAGUUUAAAGUGAAGGACUGUUCAGUCUUAUUUUUGUACUUUUUCAGACAGGAAUUAGCUUAACACCAUAGCUGUUGAUAAUAAAAUCAUGUAUAUUCAUGAAAUGGUUUCACAACGGAUUUUUCUUUUUCUUUGUGAACCUGUGGUGCAGUGAGCGUUCCACAGGGUUUCAGAGCUACAGGUGGCAGGUUUGGUCAUUGCUGCCUUGCUAUGAGACAGAGAGGCACCUCGAAUUGCUGCACAAAUUUCUUCACCAUGGCUAAUCUUGAACAUUUUAGGCAGCAGAAAGUGAAGAAGGUUUUAAAAAAGAUUAAAAACCCACUCCAAUCAUCUUUUAAGUUACUUCAAAAGUGUUCUCGGUGGUCUUUUAGUUAUGACUAUGCAUUUAUUUUUUUCUAGAGGGUAAAGUAAGAGUUUAUGGCUCCUACUGGGUUGUGGUCAGUUAGAAAUUGACCUGAACUGCUCUUUAAGGGUCAAAGGUCGCAGACCCCUGAUUUAUCAAUCUUCCGAACCUGCCGUCAUCCUCGCUAGAGCCAACCCAAUGGCUGUUUGGCGAAGGCCGGGUCCACCCAGAGCAGGGCCACAGGCUCACAUCUAGGGGGUAUUUUAGAGACAUCAAUUAACAUACGAAUCAUGCUUUUGGACUAUGGGGGGAAACCGGAGAUCCCGGACAAAACCCCAAGUAUGCACCAGGAGAACAUCCAAACACAAAAAGAACCGAUUUACUGUAAACCAGAGCCUUUGUAAACUACAUUUACAACUAUUUGAUAAAGAAUAUUGCAUUCAAACUUUACAGCGUAUAUGUGGCAUAC